GAUGAACGCUGGCGGCGUGCCUAAUACAUGCAAGUCGAGCGAACAGACGAGGAGCUUGCUCCUCUGACGUUAGCGGCGGACGGGUGAGUAACACGUGGAUAACCUACCUAUAAGACUGGGAUAACUUCGGGAAACCGGAGCUAAUACCGGAUAAUAUAUUUAACCGCAUGGUUCAAUAGUGAAAGACGGUUUUGCUGUCACUUAUAGAUUGAUCCGCGCCGCAUUAGCUAGUUGGUAAGGUAACGGCUUACCAAGGCAACGAUGCGUAGCCGACCUGAGAGGGUGAUCGGCCACACUGGAACUGAGACACGGUCCAGACUCCUACGGGAGGCAGCAGUAGGGAAUCUUCCGCAAUGGGCGAAAGCCUGACGGAGCAACGCCGCGUGAGUGAUGAAGGUCUUCGGAUCGUAAAACUCUGUUAUUAGGGAAGAACAAAUGUGUAAGUGACUAUGCACGUCUUGACGGUACCUAAUCAGAAAGCCACGGCUAACUACGUG
This 497-nucleotide ribosomal RNA is filed under the name uncultured bacterium. RNAcentral describes it as "partial 16S ribosomal RNA". It matches the Rfam family "Bacterial small subunit ribosomal RNA", at positions 28 to 507 of the family's 1533-position model. The record is from RNAcentral.